RNAcentral lists this ribosomal RNA (614 nucleotides) under uncultured bacterium. Its description in RNAcentral is "bacterial SSU rRNA". It matches the Rfam family "Bacterial small subunit ribosomal RNA", at positions 331 to 940 of the family's 1533-position model. The record is from RNAcentral.
CCAGACUCCUACGGGAGGCAGCAGUUAAGAAUAUUCCGCAAUGGACGAAAGUCUGACGGAGCGACGCCGCGUGGAUGAAGAAUGCCGAAAGGUUGUAAAAUCCUUUUAAGCCUGAGGAAUAAGCACAGUAGGGAAUGAUUGUGUGGUGACUGUAGGGCUUGAAUAAGCACCGGCAAAUUACGUGCCAGCAGCCGCGGUAACACGUAAGGUGCGAGCGUUGUUCGGAAUUAUUGGGCGUAAAGGGCAUGUAGGCGGAUGAGCAAGCUUGGUGUGAAAUGCUACAGCUUAACUGUGGGACAGCAUUGAGAACUGCACAUCUUGAAUUACUGAAGGGUAACUAGAAUUCCACGUGUAGGGGUGAAAUCUGUAGAUAUGUGGAAGAAUACCAAUGGCGAAGGCAAGUUACCGGCAGAUAAUUGACGCUGAGGUGCGAAAGUGCGGGGAGCGAACAGGAUUAGAUACCCUGGUAGUCCGCACAGUAAACGAUGUACACUAGGUGUCUGGCAACAAAGCUGGGUGCCAAAGCAAACGUGGUAAGUGUACCGCCUGGGGAGUAUGCCCGCAAGGGUGAAACUCAAAGGAAUUGACGGGGGCCCGCACAAGAAGGGCGAAUU